Bombus pyrosoma is the source of this 1029-nucleotide long non-coding RNA. RefSeq lists it as uncharacterized. The record is from RefSeq and is a predicted model, not a curated record. NCBI's taxonomy places the organism in Eukaryota, Metazoa, Arthropoda, Insecta, Hymenoptera, Apidae. The transcript has 3 exons.
CUGCGAUUGGAACUAACUUCAUACGAUAUCUGUCGAUCGAUGAAUUCUAGAAUUUCUCACGUUUUUCAACAGAAAUUGGAUUACGUUACUAUCGAUAUAAAAUGAUCAAGAACACUUCGAAGUUUCCAGUUCCAGAACGAGAACGAGAUGGAGCGUGAGACUUACGGGACGAGGAGUGGUGCCAUCUUAUGUCUUGAAGCCUCGAUUUCGAGUUGCUCGGUUCGAAUUUAUCGACGAGAAAUCCAUAGAACUAAGGAUGUCUAAAUAAUUCUUGGUAUGGUUGGACGUUACGUUUCCUUCGAAGUCCGUCUAUCGUACAAUGGCAUCGAUUCGAUCCCAUUCUUUUGCAAGAUACGCGAAACAUAUAAGAAAGCAGCUCACGGCUUACAAUAUUGUUCUCCUAAUGGUGUACCAUUGUCUGGUUAGAAAAAUGCUAUUCUAAAUCAGAAAAUCGUGGACUGGAGGCGAGUAUCGGAUUCGAAAGGACAACAAAUGGCGAUAACUUUAUCCGCGGCUUUCGUGACGACUUCCAAUGGUUCUACCAUGGUCAAAGGAUUAUCUGUUAUUUUGAUACGGACGCGACGAGAAAUGUAAUUUCGUUGUCAUCUCUAAUAUUACAUUGUACGAGUAUGAGGAAAACGUUGCUGGAAUGUAGGAAACGAGAAAACGAGUUCCGUGAUCGUUCGACGAGUUUCACACCCUCUCUGAAUAAGCGACAAAAAUCCCACCCUCCUGAAUUACCCUCGACGUUCACCACGUCAAUUUUUUUCUUCGUUUGACAGCUACUAUUCCAAAGAAUUAAAGAGGAGGAAUUCUUUUUUUUAUUGAAACAUACCUUUUCAUGUUCUUUCCCCAAAUGGUGACUAUUUAAUUUCCUGAGUGAAACGAAGUAUCGUUGAAAGUGCUUCAAUAUAUCUUAAAUUAAAGCUUCUGCUCGAUGGUUUCUUUUAAUUUUCUGAAUGAUAAUCUUCGAGAGUACGAAAUACUUAAUUCUAAUAAUUGUUUGUAUCGCGUUAUCUUUCUCAGAAG